UUCGUAGUCUAGCUGGUUAGGAUACUCAGCUUUCACCCGAGAGACCGGGUUCGAAUCCCGACGAA
This 65-nucleotide transfer RNA is filed under the name Brassica napus (rape). It matches the Rfam family "tRNA". Rfam says of the family: Transfer RNA (tRNA) molecules are approximately 80 nucleotides in length. Their secondary structure includes four short double-helical elements and three loops (D, anti-codon, and T loops). Lineage: Eukaryota; Viridiplantae; Streptophyta; Magnoliopsida; Brassicales; Brassicaceae. The record is from Rfam by way of RNAcentral.